GACGAACGCUGGCGGCGUGCUUAACACAUGCAAGUCGAACGGUGAAGCGCCUUCCUUUUUGGUGGGUGUGGAUGAGUGGCGAACGGGUGAGUAACACGUGAGUAACCUGCCCCCUUCUUCUGGAUAACCGCAUGAAAGUGUGGCUAAUACGGGAUAUUCUGGGUCUGUCGCAUGAUGGGUCUGGGAAAGAUAUUGUUUCGGUGGGGGAUGGGCUCGCGGCCUAUCAGCUUGUUGGUGGGGUGAUGGCCUACCAAGGCGGUGACGGGUAGCCGGCCUGAGAGGGUGGACGGCCCCACUGGGACGGAGACACGGCCCAGACUCCUACGGGAGGCAGCAGUGGGGAAUAUUGCACAAUGGGCGCAAGCCUGAUGCAGCGACGCCGCGUGAGGGAUGGAGGCCUUCGGGUUGUGAACCUCUUUCGCCAGUGAAGCAGGCCUGCCUCGUUUGUGGGUGGGUUGACGGUAGCUGGAUAAGAAGCGCCGGCUAACUACGUG
Molecule: ribosomal RNA, 494 nt
Filed under: uncultured bacterium
Lineage: Bacteria
Description: partial 16S ribosomal RNA
Rfam family: Bacterial small subunit ribosomal RNA
Source: RNAcentral